GUUUGAUCCCAGCCGGUCAGCACCCCACCGUUCGCAAGGAACUCCAUUCUCCCCUAUUUUCGCGUGUCUCUUUCCUUCCGGAUAAGAACCAGCAUUCCGUCUCCUCCACGUUCAUCCCGUUCGGAUUGGAGAUAAACUUAAAUUCCAUCUUCCGGCAUGAUCCCAUGGAGUCAUCCUCAUCCCGUGAACAACCAAACGUAUCCUCCCCUGUUUCGGAAACAGAACAAAGUCAUCCUCCCAUUCCGUGGAUCACAUCCCAGCCGAAUCAAGCCAGCCAUCGUCCGGAUUAAUCCCAGCCUAUCCACGGAUAAACCUGAAUC
This 320-nucleotide long non-coding RNA is filed under the name Phoenix dactylifera (date palm). RNAcentral describes it as "long non-coding RNA (PDAC_LNC010426)". Lineage: Eukaryota; Viridiplantae; Streptophyta; Magnoliopsida; Arecales; Arecaceae. The record is from RNAcentral.